CCAAUACCAUUAUAGACCUAACAAACCAUUACAAAUGAAAAUGACUUCAACCACUCCAAAUAACUUCAUUGUUUUAAAACAGAAAAGUUGAAACUAAUUAAACAAUCCUACAAACUCAUUCUAACUACCACAAUUUAAUUUCAGUCUAGCUACAAGGAAGUUACAUUAAUUGAGGAUAACUUCUCCGAUACCCCUUAAUCUACGAACUUAUAAACAGCUACGACAAACAGAUAUAAACAACUAUGCACUAGCAGGCUCAAAUCUCCAUUUUUCACUCCAAU
This 281-nucleotide long non-coding RNA is filed under the name Nicotiana benthamiana. RNAcentral's name for it is "long non-coding RNA (NBEN_LNC021670)". Lineage: Eukaryota; Viridiplantae; Streptophyta; Magnoliopsida; Solanales; Solanaceae. The record is from RNAcentral.